RNAcentral lists this unclassified non-coding RNA (531 nucleotides) under Hevea brasiliensis (rubber tree). The record is from RNAcentral. Lineage: Eukaryota; Viridiplantae; Streptophyta; Magnoliopsida; Malpighiales; Euphorbiaceae.
GUCUGUUUUAGCUCUAUGUUGUACUUUAAUUUAUUAUGUUACUUGAAUUAGUUCUGUUUGAAGUGAGCUAUUGUUAGUUGUAACUCAACAAAAACUUUGGUUUCAUUUGUUUUACUCUGAUUAUGUGAGAUCAUUUUGGUCCAUUCACCAUUUUCCCUUGCAUUUUAUUUUGAUUUAUCUAUACGUUUUGUCUUUUACUUUUCUCUGUUGCCACACUCUUGCUAGAUCCAAAAUUCCAAAUCCAUAUUUUGCCUCAAAUAAAGUGUUUCGCCCUUCAAUUAUGAAAAUUUUUCACUUUUUUAUGUGAUGCAAAUAAGCACAUUGACCAUUGAAUUGUGCCUAAUACACUUAUGCAAUUUGAAUUGGAAUCCUUCAUUUUAUGUUGCAAUACCUUCAAGUUGUAUCGGAAAAUUGAUAUCCAUGAAUAAUGAAAUGAAUUCUGGUGAUGCUUUAGCUAAACAUAUAAAUUACUUGCUACAUUUUAUUUUAUCUAAUGCUACAUGGUAGCUUUCAAAAUAAGCUAAAUUGUUU